AUUGAACGCUGGCGGCAGGCCUAACACAUGCAAGUCGAGCGGACGAAGGGAGCUUUUUCCUCUCUUCCGCGGGGGACGGGCGAGUAAUUCCCACGAAUCUACCUUGCAGUGGGGGCUAACGUCCGUAAGGGGGCGCUAAUACCGUACAGGUCAUGAGGUAGAAAGUGGGGGUUCUUCGGACAACACGCUAUCAGCUGAGCCUAGGUCGGAUUAGCUAGUUGGUGGGGUAAAGGCCUACCAAGGCGACGAUCCGUAACUGGUCUGAGAGGGUGAUCAGGCACACUGGAACUGAGACACGGUCCAGACUCCUACGGGAGGCAGCAGUAGGGAAUAUUGGGCAAUGGGCGAAAGCCUGAUGCAGCCAUGCCGCGUGUGUGAAGAAGGUCUUCGGAUUGUAAAACUCUUUAAGUAGGGAGGAAGAACAGUAAGUGAAUCCCUGGCUGUCUUGACGUUACCAACAGAGUAAGCACCGGCUAACUUCGUG
This 484-nucleotide ribosomal RNA is filed under the name uncultured bacterium. RNAcentral describes it as "partial 16S ribosomal RNA". It matches the Rfam family "Bacterial small subunit ribosomal RNA", at positions 30 to 507 of the family's 1533-position model. The record is from RNAcentral.